This 253-nucleotide ribosomal RNA is filed under the name uncultured bacterium. RNAcentral describes it as "partial 16S ribosomal RNA". It matches the Rfam family "Bacterial small subunit ribosomal RNA", at positions 524 to 776 of the family's 1533-position model. The record is from RNAcentral.
UACGUAGGGCGCGAGCGUUGUCCGGAUUUAUUGGGCGUAAAGAGCGUGUAGGCGGCCAUACAGGUCAGCUGUGAAAACUCGAGGCUCAACCUCGAGACGUCGGUUGAAACCGUAUGGCUAGAGUCCGGAAGAGGAGAGUGGAAUUCCCGGUGUAGCGGUGAAAUGCGCAGAUAUCGGGAAGAACACCUAUGGCGAAGGCAGCUCUCUGGGACGGUACUGACGCUGAGACGCGAAAGCGUGGGGAGCGAACAGG